GUGAGGAAUAUUGGUCAAUGGGCGGGAGCCUGAACCAGCCAAGUCGCGUGAAGGAAGAAGGAUCUAUGGUUCGUAAACUUCUUUUGCAGGGGAAUAAAGUGCAGGACGUGUCCUGUUUUGUAUGUACCCUGAGAAUAAGGAUCGGCUAACUCCGUGCCAGCAGCCCCGGUAAUACGGAGGAUCCGAGCGUUAUCCGGAUUUAUUGGGUUUAAAGGGUGCGUAGGUGGUUUGAUAAGUCAGCGGUGAAAGUUUGCAGCUUAACUGUAAAAAUGCCGUUGAAACUGUCGGACUUGAGUGUAAAUGAGGUAGGCGGAAUGCGUGGUGUAGCGGUGAAAUGCAUAGAUAUCACGCAGAACUCCGAUUGCGAAGGCAGCUUACUAAGCUACAACUGACACUGAAGCACGAAAGCGUGGGGAUCAAACAGGAUUAGAUACCCUAGUAGUCC
Molecule: ribosomal RNA, 445 nt
Filed under: uncultured bacterium
Lineage: Bacteria
Description: partial 16S ribosomal RNA
Rfam family: Bacterial small subunit ribosomal RNA
Source: RNAcentral